Molecule: long non-coding RNA, 733 nt
Filed under: Pogona vitticeps (central bearded dragon)
Lineage: Eukaryota; Metazoa; Chordata; Lepidosauria; Squamata; Agamidae
Description: lncRNA (ENSPVIG00000023649.1)
Source: RNAcentral
AUCAGAGGGCAAAACCGAACUAGUGACCGCCGCCUCGCGAAAUUCCCGGCCACCGUAGUGCGUCACUGGGUACCACCCCCGACGGACAAACCGGCCCCGCCUUCUCCCAAGGCGCAGGCGCAGUUGGCCCAAAGCCGCUGCAAUGGGGGCGGUGAAGGACGCCGCGCCGGUCGACUCAACAGGCGCGCGCUCCGCCGCCUGCUGAGUCAGUAACUGUCAUUUUAGCUGCGCCUGCGCGUAGCACUUAAAAGCGGCGUGGCCUGAGCUGAACCUUUUGGGUUGCAAGGACAUACAGAAUUAUUUGGACGCCGGUUCCACUGACGUGAGAGGCGGUUGCUCCCGUUCCGUUCGUUCUUUUAAAUGGAGAGGCUAUCAUGCGGACCAAGUGUGAUUACCGAGGAGUUCUGGAGUUAAAAAAAACAGUUGUGGGUCUCGCCAGACAAGGCUGUCCGACAUUAAGGCACCUGGGAACUGCUUUCAAGGACUGGUACCAAUGUUAGCAAACUCAUUCUUAGAGGAGACCUGUUCUGCUUCUUUGCUUCUCAUGAUUGCGGAAGGAGUUGUCUUUGGGCCUUUGGACUCCUCUGAUUGUUUUGGAGUGGCAGUAUGUGGUUGGAAAAUUAGACCGUUUCUCUGGAACUUGUUGAAGUGGGUUUUACAGUCACAAAUACAAAACUACAAGAACAAUAAUCUCAUCUGUGGUGCAAGUGCAGGUAAUUUUAUACCAGGAUAA